Molecule: unclassified non-coding RNA, 1738 nt
Filed under: Zea mays
Lineage: Eukaryota; Viridiplantae; Streptophyta; Magnoliopsida; Poales; Poaceae
Description: misc RNA Zm00001eb168460
Source: RNAcentral
CGGUCGUGCUUGCGCGCUGCCAGGGCCUCUAGGAGCCGGCCACCUGGCUUCAGAGCGCCGCGCCAGCCGUUGGUCCGCGACCGCCUUGGAGCAGGCGCCCGCGCCGGUGGCCCUCUACCACGACCGCCGAGCCUCCUCCCCUGGCAGCAGGUAGCCAGCCAAGACCGGGAGAGAAGCAGCAGCAGGGCCGCCAAUGCCCAGCUCCCUUGGCCGCCGAGCUUCUCCCUCUCAGCCAUGGUGUCUACCCCUGCUCCUCCAUCGACGAGCUGGUCGAAGCCAUGGCGGGUUCGACCUCCCUCUCCACCAGGGACGCACCCAGCAGCCGCUGCUCCCUCCGUCCCUAGCACGCGCCAGAUCCCGCCGUGGAUGAGCCCUGCUGCACUGCACGGCGGCCUCGUCACCUCCGAACGACGGGGCGCCGCGCGAAACAACCGGCCCAGCCGCGGAAGGAGGGGCAGAGGCGUCGUCCCUUCGUCGCCAGUCGACCUCGUGCACAGCAACAGUAAGCCCAGGGCUACGCAUCCGCUGCUCACUCCCACCCCGGCUUCCGCGCUGCGCCGCCAUCCCGCACCAGCCGGCCGCGCCAGACUGCGAUGGCCCCAGGGAUCCACGCGCUCCUCCUGGUCGCGCUCGCACCGCCUCGACUCUGCUACUGCUCCCCGCCGCCGGCCACAGACGCCCAGGACCAGCUCACCUUCCCCUCUCCCUGCUUUCUUCAACCUCCAGUCGACCUUCCCAUCCAUGGCCGUCGGCCUCCCUAGCCUGGUGGACGUGCCCAGCGCCUCCCCAGUCCACCAGCCCCGCCCCUACUUUCUUUUCUCCCCUGCACGAGCCUUUCUCGGUGCCCUCGCUCCCUCAAGCAGUAGGACGGAUGGAGCUCUCUGCCCCAUGGCCGUCGGCCUCCCUGGCCCAUAGCGCCCGUCUCCCAUGGCGCUCGGCGCGGCAGCGCCUCACCCUUCGACCUUCUCUCAUCGCCGGCGCCAUUCACACCCCUUGCGAGGUCCGACACAGGCCCCUUCCCGGCUGGACCCGCCCCGUCGCCCACCCCCUUCUUCACUUUCGCUGGAUCCGUCGCUGUCGCGGCCUUCCCGGUCGGAUCCACGUUGUUGCGACCUUUCCGGCUCGAUCCGCCGUCCCUUUGGCUGGAUCGCGUCUUCCCGGCAGGGAUCCGUCGUUGCCGUGGCCUUCCCGGCCGGAUCUGCCGUUUCCCCUUCUAUUCUGCCGCGGGCGCAGACACCAUGAUCGGCGCAGACGCGUGCGCUACUGUUGGCCUCCCUGGCGGGGCUCCUUGACGCCCGGACGAUCGAAGAAGAAGGAAGGUCGGCCUACCGGUGCCCUUUUGUUGUGUCGCCCUGCCGAUCGUUGACGCUCGAACGUCGACCCCUCCCGAAGAUCAGGCUUCUGCUGCGUGUCUCCCGACCGCGACCACCUCGACUUCGGCUACCUCGGCAUCUAGGGGCUAUCGUCUUCUUGGAGCACACACUGGUCUCUACUCUAGCCGCAACAUUCGCACCAUCACGACGCUGCGACUACGGGGGGAUUUCAACCCGUCGGCUCCUACCUUCGGCCUCUACUCCAGUCUCAUCGUGUAUGGUGCCCCCGUUGCGACUGCGGGGGGAUGUUAGACUGUGUGUGUGAGUUUGUGUGGGCCGGCACCACUGUUGGGCUGCCGGCCCAUUAGGAUUAGGGUUGAGUCUCUCUAUAUAUUGUAUCCCAUCUAUUAUCAAUACAACAGUUC